Molecule: ribosomal RNA, 465 nt
Filed under: uncultured bacterium
Lineage: Bacteria
Description: partial 16S ribosomal RNA
Rfam family: Bacterial small subunit ribosomal RNA
Source: RNAcentral
GACGAACGCUGGCGGCGUGCUUAACACAUGCAAGUCGUACGGUAAGGCCCUUUCGGGGGUACACGAGUGGCGAACGGGUGAGUAACACGUGAGUAACCUGCCCACAACUUUGGGAUAACGCUAGGAAACUGGUGCUAAUACUGGAUAUGUGCUCCUGCUGCAUGGUGGGGGUUGGAAAGCUCCGGCGGUGGUGGAUGGACUCGCGGCCUAUCAGCUUGUUGGUGGGGUAGUGGCCUACCAAGGCGGCGACGGGUAGCCGGCCUGAGAGGGUGACCGGCCACAUUGGGACUGAGAUACGGCCCAGACUCCUACGGGAGGCAGCAGUGGGGAAUAUUGCACAAUGGGCGCAAGCCUGAUGCAGCAACGCCGCGUGCGGGAUGACGGCCUUCGGGUUGUAAACCGCGUUCAGCAGGGACGAAGCUUUUUGUGACGGUACCUGCAGAAGAAGCACCGGCUAACUACGUG